CAUUACCGGGGAAGCUUUACACAUGCAAGUCGAACGGUCUCUUCGGAGAUAGCCGCGCGGACGGGUGAGUAACGCGUGAGAAUCUAGCUUCAGGUCGGGGACAACCACUGGAAACGGUGGCUAAUACCGGAUGUGCCGAAAGGUGAAAGAUUUAUUGCCUGAAGAUGAGCUCGCGUCUGAUUAGCUAGUUGGUGUGGUAAGAGCGCACCAAGGCGACGAUCAGUAGCUGGUCUGAGAGGAUGAUCAGCCACACUGGGACUGAGACACGGCCCAGACUCCUACGGGAGGCAGCAGUGGGGAAUUUUCCGCAAUGGGCGAAAGCCUGACGGAGCAAUACCGCGUGAGGGAGGAAGGCUCUUGGGUUGUAAACCUCUUUUCUCAGGGAAUAAAAAAAUGAAGGUACCUGAGGAAUAAGCAUCGGCUAACUCCGUGCCAGCAGCCGCGGUAAUACGGAGGAUGCAAGCGUUAUCCGGAAUGAUUGGGCGUAAAGCGUCCGCAGGUGGCACUGUAAGUCUGCUGUUAAAGAGCAAGGCUCAACCUUGUAAAGGCAGUGGAAACUACAGAGCUAGAGUACGUUCGGGGCAGAGGGAAUUCCUGGUGUAGCGGUGAAAUGCGUAGAAAUAA
Molecule: ribosomal RNA, 624 nt
Filed under: Trichormus sp. MACC 227
Lineage: Bacteria; Bacillati; Cyanobacteriota; Cyanophyceae; Nostocales; Nostocaceae
Description: bacterial SSU rRNA
Rfam family: Bacterial small subunit ribosomal RNA
Source: RNAcentral